UAUAGGCUGGUGUAUGGGCACAUUAAAUUUUGAAUUUAAUGGGGGUAGUUUAACUCUAUCGCUUAUAA
RNAcentral lists this transfer RNA (68 nucleotides) under Thereuonema tuberculata. Its description in RNAcentral is "tRNA-Gln". The record is from RNAcentral. Lineage: Eukaryota; Metazoa; Arthropoda; Chilopoda; Scutigeromorpha; Scutigeridae.